RNAcentral lists this long non-coding RNA (6255 nucleotides) under Sus scrofa (pig). RNAcentral's name for it is "lncRNA (ENSSSCG00045001640.1)". Lineage: Eukaryota; Metazoa; Chordata; Mammalia; Artiodactyla; Suidae. The record is from RNAcentral.
CUUUUCAGGGCCACACCUAUGGCAUAUGGAAGUUCCCAGGCUAGGGAUCAAAUCGGAGCUGUAGCUGCCAGCCUAUGCCUCAGCCACAGUAACACAGGAUCCAAGCCAAGGCUUCAACCUACAGCACAGAUCAGAGCAAUGCUGGAUCCUUAACCCACUGAGGGAGGCCAGGGAUUGAACCCACAUCCUCAUGGAUCCUAGUCGGGACCAUUAACUGCUGAGCCACGAAGGGAACUCCUCCUCCAUUCUUUCUUGAAGUGAGUCAGUUCAGGUUCUCUUCAAUAUAACGCCAUGUCAGUAAAACUAUAGUUAUCAAUUCAUCAUUUCAUCCCCCCCCCCCACCAAAAUCCAUACGUUGAAGUCCUCACCACCAAUGUGGCUGCAUUUAGAGAUAAAACUUUAAGGAAGUAAUUAAGGUUAAUGAGAUCAGAAGGGCAGGGCCCUAAUCUAAUAAAACUGGUGUUCUUAUAAGAUGAUGCUAGGAUGUGAGAGCACAGAAAAAGGGCCAUAUGAAGCCACUGCAGGUAGGCUUCAUCUAUAAGUCAAAGAAGGAAGCCUCAGGUAAAACCAACCCUGCCAGCACUUUGAUUUAUGACUUCCAGACUCAGAACCGUAAGAAAAAAAAAAAAAAUCUGUGGUUAGAAUAAACAAUAGUCUAGGGUACUUUGUUAUAGCAGCCCAAACUGGCUAAUAGAACCUCCACAUUACUAAAUCCCAUGAUCAUUUUUUAUUUUGUCCACAUCUUACUUCGUGGGUCAGCAGCAUCUAAUACAGUUGAACAUUCUCUAAACAUGUGUCUCAAUCAACAAAUUCUUCUCUUAUCUUCUUAUCCACUCUGUCUCCACCUCCUUUUCUCAUUCAUUUCUCUGCUUCUAAAUGUUGAUAUGCUCCACAUCGACUACCAAACUCUCUUUACUAACUAACAUCGGUCCCUAGGUGAUCUCACUGGUCUCUUGGUUUUAGUUACCACCUAUAUACUAAUGGUCCCCAAAUUCAUAUCACCAGCCUAGAAGUGUCUCCAACCUCCAGACCUAAAUAUUCCAACUUUCUGCAAGAUAUCUGCACCUGAAUGUUUUACAGCCAAGUUAAAUUUGACAUAUCCCAAACUGAGAUUCUAAUAAACCACCGUCCCCCUCAACUACCCUAUGCCCCUUGCAGUUUUCCCAUCUCAAUUAAUAAAAACUCAAUUCUCCUGAAGCCAAAAUAAUUCUAUUUUUCUCACAACCCAGAUCCUGGCAAAUCUGUUGGUUCUGUAGCAUCUGAUGCUGCUCAGUUUCUAGUUUGCAGAUGGCCUUUGUAUCCUCACAAGGCAGAAAGCAGACAUAAAUAUUUAGUUGGUAGCACCAUCUAUAUAGGACUUCUUUUCUAAGGGGGUAUCCCUUACCCAGAGGACUCAAAAGAGCUGGCUAAAGAAGCCAUAUCUCACUCUCCAAGAUGAUGAGGCUCCUGGGCCAAAAUAAUUUAGCCAUAACUCAAGGACAGUUAAAUCCAUCAUUUUGUUAACUAACUUCUCACCAAGGCAGCCUCAUUUUACAAAGUGAGGUGAAUCAGUUAAAGCCCUCUACUGGGAGUUCCCUGGUCGCCUAGCAAUUAAGGAUCUGGCCUUGUCACUGCUAUGGCUGAGGUCAUUGUCGUGGUGUGGGUUCGACCCCUAGCCCAGUAACUUCUACAAGCCACGGGUGCAGCCAAAAAACAAAACAAAACAAAACAAAAAAAAUCCCUCUCCUCAGCAAAUGGCUUUGAGAACCUUAGAUAAAGCAGCCUGAUAAAAUUAAAGCAGGGAAUGACACAAAGAUGGCAAUGAAGGUCCAUGUGGAUAGAAAAGAUAGGAGGGGCAGAGAACAACAGGCAAAUUCAAAGGAAGUUCCGUCAUGGCGCAGUGGUUAACGAAUCCGACUAGGAACCACGAAGUUGCGGGUUCAAUUCCUGGCCUUGCUCAGUGGGUUAAAGAUCCAGGGUUGCCAUGAGCUGUGGUGUAGGUUUCAGACGCGGCUCGGAUCCCGAGUUGCUGUGGCUCUGGCGUAGGCUCGUGGCUACAGCUCCGAUUCAACCCCUAGCCUGGGAACCUCCAUAUGCCGCGGGAGCAGCCCCAAAAAUGGCAAAAAGACAAAAAAAAUAAAUAAAAAUAAAUAAAUAAAGCAAACAAAACUAAGGCCACAGAGCACAGAAGCUGUGAUAAUAAAACAAGGGUCUUCUUAAACAUACCAAAUUGCCUACACUAUUUUCAAGGUUAACUUGUACAGAUCUCUUUUCUUUUCAAACAAGCCAGUCUAACAAAUCAAUCAGCUAAGUGCAUAGUGAAGUUAUAUUUAUACUAAUUAUAUAAAAAUGUAUCUUUCUCAGGCAUUUGAGCUAAUGUUUGUUAAAUCAGGUGUGUUUAUUUGCUUGAGGGCAUCCACAAACCACAAUGUAGAGAACCAUAGUUAAAUGCCUUAAUGUUUAGGUCAAUUACAGAAAACAGUGUUUUUGUUGAAUGGCAUUUUGUUAAACCAAGUACAUUUCAUGAACUACUCCUUGCAAAUGAUCUCGUCUGUUGAAAAAGCUAGUGAAGCUCAGAAUUAUGUGGCCAUCAUUUGAAAUGAACUGGCAUUGAUGGGUACAGCAUCUUUGUGGUCUUCCCUUUUGUUCUUAAUUUUCAAAUACACUAAGCCAAAAAUCAACAAGAGAAGCUGGAGGGUGAUCAAGGGAGAAUGGAUGAAAGCUACGUUUUCAUGGGUGAUGCUGAUUUCAUGGCAUCUUUUGUGUGAAGGGGACAAAGACCAAAAUUGAUACUGGAGACAUUAAUCACACAAAAUCUGUCAUCAAGGAGGGACAUAACCAAUAAUUUUACCAUCAAAAGGCAAUCCAUAAUCAGGAGAAAAGGGAAUUGCAUUGCUGUGGGAUUCCACCCCUGAUAACUAAUUAAUGAGAUGCCAACUGCUAAAUACUAGAGCCAAAGCAGACUAAGGGUCUAUUUUUUCUGCAACAAAGGCAUUUAUCAAUGAACUGUAUUUAUUUCUUUAAUUUUUCUUUUUCUUUUUUUUUUUUUUUUUUUUUUUUUUUUUUUGGUCAGUUUGAGUUUUGAAAUGAAUCAUUUUUCAAAUUUUGGCCGUGAAAAUCCCUAAGCCUCAGGUAUAAAUUUGCUAGUUAGAAAAUUCUAAGCAUUUGCUCUUACCUUGAGUUAAAAUUUAAAUAAGUAUUAGACCAAGAAAAACAAGUUUUACGUAAAGGCCAAAUGGAUACAUAUUUUUGCAUACACAUGGUUUACGUUUCAUGCUGAGAGUAACAAAGGAAGUAGAAUAUGAAAAAGAAUAGAAUAAAAAAGGUGUCCUUGGACUUUAGACUUUAAAUCCACUUAAAAAAAUAGAUUUUAGGGAGGUGGUUGUUUUAUCUGAAUUGUUUUUUUUUCCCCCUUUCUAUUUCUAUCCUAGUUAUUAACUAAAUUAGAGUUAUUACCCAAAGAAUAGAGGUCCUAGAAUUAGGCCCAGAGGGAAUUCAAGGGGAACAGCUUUUGUGUAUGAAUUUGUGCUGUUCUUUCAAAGCAAGCCAUUCAGGCUUUCGACACUUUAUUUUAUCAAUGUUUUAGAAGGAACAACCAAAAAAAAAAAAAACAAAAAAACCAGGAUUAAUAUUGUGUGUGCAUAAGGGAGGGUGGAGGUGGGUAGUUGAGAUGUGAGUGGCUUGAAAGCAAAACAGAAACAGGCAUUGGUGGAAUUUAUAUCCGGUGGUUUCAAGGGAAAUGUUAGAGCUAGUGAACUAUUGUACCAUCCAGCUCCUACAACUCAAUUCCUAUUCUGAUAAAUCUGUCAAUCAAUUGCCACUAACAUCUCCCUUCACUGACUCGCACACUUUCUGUGAGUCCCAUGUUCUCUAGAUCUUGAACCAAGUUAAAACCUAAAACCUCUUUGGUCAAAACCAUGAGUCAUUUCUUACUGAACACAAAUCAUUUCAGCUCACUUGGGCACAAACCACACUUAUUCUUUUAUUUUAUUUUAUUUUUUGAGGAUUUACCAUGUAUCUACCCUGUCCAACGCCCAUUUCUGGCCCCUCAAAAGCCUGUCCUCUGCAGACCAACAGAUGGAGGCAGGUCUAACACCCAAGAAAUAUCAAAGCUGGGGGCAGGGGGGAAGAGUGGGACAAAUUGUGAUGACGACUUAAAGCAAAAGAAAUCUCCUCAUGAUUGAUCCCUUGAUGAAUUCCAUAAUUCAUAUAGAAAUGAAUAGGCUGUAUUAUGAUGGUAACUAUAAAUUAAUUGUGUCCAAGUUUACAGUACCCAUUAGAAAAGCUAGAACAAUUAAUAUUUUUUUAAAUUAGAAAAAGAAACCAAAAAAAAAAAAUCUUCUGUAUCUAGACAGUUCUAAACUGAUGAGUUUUUCUUGAUAUGUACCUUCUAUAAAGUGCUCUAAUAUGACUUUAAUUUUAAUGAUAUAGUCAUGUUAAGAGUGAAUAAACCUCACUUUGAAUCCCUUUUUAUUGUUCCAAUCUCAAUUUCCAAGAAGCCAUCAGCUGCUGAAGUUGCCACUGAAAUCUUUCCUAUGGUUUAAAAAUAAGUGUUUGAUUAAAAAUUUAUUGCUUUUUGUAAUAUACUAUAUGGUGGCAUAUUCAAAUAGACUUUUAAAAAUAUAUCUAUAUCAUCUUUACUUGUCAGAACAAGGAAGUUUUAAAUUGUUUUUAGGGUGUUUUAUGUAGAUUCUGUGCUUGGGUCCACAAACAUCAUUUGAGUUUUAAAAUAUAUGCAGACAGCAUUUGCGUUUCUCGUGCCAGUUCAUUCAUUAAGAGCACUAUAGCCUUCAUACUUUUCAUAUCAGUGGGCUCUUUAAAAUAUUGUAACAAAUGACCAUUUUUUUCAAAGACGUUUUUAAAUACAUCUGUUUCCACAAAAUGUUAAAAGCCCAAUCCUCUGCUUGAAAUCGGGAGACUUAACCCUCUAAUCCUCAUUAUACUGCUGACCUGUUUUCUGACAUUGGACAAAUCACAUCAAAAUCUUUAAUGAUUUCUCACUUGUUAAUAAUAAUGGCAACCAAAGCCAUAAAAGUUAAGAUGUAUCGAAUGUGUGUUUCACACCAGCGUCUACGUGUCUUAACUCACAUAGUCCUCACUGUACUCUAAUGAGAGGUCAGCACAGUUAUAAACUCCAUUUACUGAUGAGCAAAGUGAAGCACCCCAAAACCCAGUGUCUCCCAGCUAAUAAGUGGCAGAGUCAGGAUAGGGGCACUUUGACGUGAGAGCCCCUGCUUUCAUCCAGCAUGCUGUUACCUCUGAAAACUAACUCCCUAACGUGCCACUGAUAUCCUUCUACCUCUUGCUAUAUCCUUACUUUUCAGCAGCUCUCUCCAGAUAUCUUUGCCUCUAGACAAAUGAAACUCUUUUCGUUCCCAAUGUAUCUUCAAAUCUUUGCAGGCUGAGGAUUUUCACUAAGAUUUGUCCCUCUGACUAGAAUGUUCUUUGCCCAUCUCCACCAUUCCAAGUCCUGAUCAUCUUUCAAGAAUUAGGCAUUACUAGCAAUAACCAGCUGGAAGAUAAAUGCUCUCUACAAUAACACCAAAACUUUUAGCUACCAACUUAACAAAGAAGUCAUUUAUGGAAUCAUAGGAGAAAUUCUGAAUUAAAAGAAUGAUAAACUAUUUGUAUAGAUUAGGCAAUAUAUUAUGAUAAUGAUGUCAGUUUUUCCCAAGUUGUUCCACAAAUUCAAAGCAAAUGAUAAAAAUGUCAGCUAAUGUUUUAAAAAAUUGAUAAAACUCCUUCUAAUAUAAAUAUAGAAUAAUAAUGAUCUAAAAGUAAUUAUGCUAGUUUUGAAAAAAUAAAGAAUCAAUGCUGGGUGAAGUUGAAUUACUUCACCAUAUAUUAAGAUAUAUGGUUAUAAUAAGAGAAACAGUAUGGCAUAGGUGCAGGAAAAAAUGUCAAUGAAAUAGAAUGUAUAGCUUAUAAAUAGACCUAUUUAUACAAAAAAACUUAGGUUAUACAAAGCAAUGAAUGAUAAAGAUGGUGCUUCAAAGAGGGUAGAAUAGACUGUUUAAUACACAGUGUUGGGAAAGGAAGUUCCUAUUCUAUAGACAAAAAAUUAGAGUAGUUCUUCACCUAACACAAAGUGCAAAAUCAUAUUCCAUAAAGAUUAUAAAAAACAACUGAGGUAAUAUGGCUAAGCUAUCAGAAGAAAAUGUUCAUGAAUAUCUUUGUAAAUAUUUCUUGACGUAGUAAAGAUGAGAAAAGCAUCUUAAGAAUUUUCAUCUAAUAAAAAAUAUAAAAAAGGUAAGAAACAGAUAAGAGUCUGGAGAA